Molecule: ribosomal RNA, 519 nt
Filed under: uncultured bacterium
Lineage: Bacteria
Description: bacterial SSU rRNA
Rfam family: Bacterial small subunit ribosomal RNA
Source: RNAcentral
AAUGGACGGAAGUCUGAUGGAGCAACGCCGCGUGAGUGAAGAAGGAUUUCGGUUCGUAAAACUCUGUUGCAAGGGAAGAACAAGUAGCGUAGUAACUGGCGCUACCUUGACGGUACCUUGUUAGAAAGCCACGGCUAACUACGUGCCAGCAGCCGCGGUAAUACGUAGGUGGCAAGCGUUGUCCGGAAUUAUUGGGCGUAAAGCGCGCGCAGGUGGUUCCUUAAGUCUGAUGUGAAAGCCCCCGGCUCAACCGGGGAGGGUCAUUGGAAACUGGGGAACUUGAGUGCAGAAGAGGAUAGUGGAAUUCCAAGUGUAGCGGUGAAAUGCGUAGAGAUUUGGAGGAACACCAGUGGCGAAGGCGACUGUCUGGUCUGUAACUGACACUGAGGCGCGAAAGCGUGGGGAGCAAACAGGAUUAGAUACCCUGGUAGUCCACGCCGUAAACGAUGAGUGCUAAGUGUUGGGGGGUUUCCGCCCCUCAGUGCUGCAGCUAACGCAUUAAGCACUCCGCCUGGGGAG